This 274-nucleotide ribosomal RNA is filed under the name Escherichia coli. RNAcentral's name for it is "partial 23S ribosomal RNA". It matches the Rfam family "Bacterial large subunit ribosomal RNA", at positions 919 to 1191 of the family's 2925-position model. The record is from RNAcentral. Lineage: Bacteria; Pseudomonadati; Pseudomonadota; Gammaproteobacteria; Enterobacterales; Enterobacteriaceae.
CAAGGGGGUCAUCCCGACUUACCAACCCGAUGCAAACUGCGAAUACCGGAGAAUGUUAUCACGGGAGACACACGGCGGGUGCUAACGUCCGUCGUGAAGAGGGAAACAACCCAGACCGCCAGCUAAGGUCCCAAAGUCAUGGUUAAGUGGGAAACGAUGUGGGAAGGCCCAGACAGCCAGGAUGUUGGCUUAGAAGCAGCCAUCAUUUAAAGAAAGCGUAAUAGCUCACUGGUCGAGUCGGCCUGCGCGGAAGAUGUAACGGGGCUAAACCAUG